GUUCGAGAGUAGCAGUCCGACCGAGAAGACCGACCGAGGUAACGCCUACGUAAGAAAAGAGAGCCUUCACGAGGGCGCGAAGAUAGUCAGGAAUGGCCGACUGUAAUCUACGGAAAAGUACCGGGCCCAAAAUGAGACCACAUGGUGCUAAACGCAACCCUUAGCUGGGUCGUGAUAAGAAUACUAAUGAGCCUUCGAACUAUGAUGGGAAUCUACCCAUAUCUGUUAUCCAACUGUUUGGACAAACUUUAGAUCUGGUAGAAUGUAUUUUAAAAAGGAAAAGCCCGGUAGUCUGGAAUAUAUAUUUGUUGUGAG
This is a long non-coding RNA of Anthonomus grandis grandis, 315 nucleotides long. RefSeq lists it as uncharacterized. Lineage: Eukaryota; Metazoa; Arthropoda; Insecta; Coleoptera; Curculionidae. The transcript is spliced from 2 exons. The record is from RefSeq and is a predicted model, not a curated record.